Molecule: ribosomal RNA, 407 nt
Filed under: uncultured bacterium
Lineage: Bacteria
Description: partial 16S ribosomal RNA
Rfam family: Bacterial small subunit ribosomal RNA
Source: RNAcentral
AUUGAACGCUGGCGGCAGGCCUAACACAUGCAAGUAGAGCGGAGCGGCGGACGGGUGAGUCAUGCAUAGGAAUCUGCCUGGUAGUGGGGGAUAACGUCCGGAAACGGGCGCUAAUACCGCAUACUAUCAGAUAAGCCUAGGUCGGAUUAGCUAGCUGGUGGGGUAAAGGCCUACCAAGGCGACGAUCCGUAACUGGGCUGAGAGUAUGAUCAGUCACAGUGGAACUGAGACACGGUCCAGACUCCUACGGUAGGCAGCAGUGGGGAAUAUUGGGCAAGUGGCGAAGGCCUGAUCCAGCCAUGCCGCGUGGGUUAAGAAGGUCUUCGGAUUGUAAAGCACUUUAAGUUGGGAGGCGUUACCAACAGAAUAAGCACCGGCUAACUUCGUGCCAGCAGCCGCGGUAAUAC